GUCUGGAGAGGACGAUCAGCCACACUGGAACUGAGAUACGGUCCAGACUCCUACGGGAGGCAGCAGUGGGGAAUAUUGGACAAUGGGCGAAAGCCUGAUCCAGCUAUGCCGCGUGAGUGAAGAAGGCCUUCGGGUUGUAAAACUCUUUCAAUAGGGAAGAUAAUGACGGUACCUAUAGAAGAAGUCCCGGCAAACUCUGUGCCAGCAGCCGCGGUAAUACGGAGGGGGCAAGCGUUGUUCGGAAUUAUUGGGCGUAAAGGGCACGUAGGUGGACUAGUAAGUUAAAAGUGAAAUACCAAAGCUUAACUUUGGAGCGGCUUUUAAUACUGCUAGACUAGAGGUCGAAAGAGGAUAGCGGAAUUCCUAGUGUAGAGGUGAAAUUCGUAGAUAUUAGGAGGAACACCAGUGGCGAAGGCGGCUAUCUGGUUCGAUACUGACACUGAGGUGCGAAAGCGUGGGGAGCAAACAGGAUUAGAUUCCCUGGUAGUCCACGCUGUAAACGAUGAGUGCUAAAUGUGAGGAUUUUAUCUUUGUAUUGUAGCUAACGCGUUAAGCACUCCGCCUGGGGACUACGGUCGCAAGACUAAAACUCAAAGGAAUUGACGGGGACCCGCACAAGCGGUGGAGCAUGUGGUUUAAUUCGAUGCUACGCGAAAAACCUUACCACUUUUUGACAUGAAGGUCGUAUCCCUCCUAACAGGGGGAGUCAGUUCGGCUGGACCUUACACAGGUGCUGCAUGGUUGUCGUCAGCUCGUGUCGUGAGAUGUUGGGUUAAGUCCCGCAACGAGCGCAACCCUCAUUCUUAGUUACCAACAGGUAAUGCUGGGCACUCAAAAAA
RNAcentral lists this ribosomal RNA (839 nucleotides) under Ehrlichia canis. RNAcentral's name for it is "bacterial SSU rRNA". It matches the Rfam family "Bacterial small subunit ribosomal RNA", at positions 290 to 1146 of the family's 1533-position model. Lineage: Bacteria; Pseudomonadati; Pseudomonadota; Alphaproteobacteria; Rickettsiales; Anaplasmataceae. The record is from RNAcentral.